CAAAUGAGAGGCCCUCAUAUUUAUAUUAAUCCCUAAGGUCCUAAGAGUAAAUAAAUAUUGUUCUACAGGUCUCUAAGUAAUUACACUUUAGUACAUGUUCUAGAGAAUUCUACACUCUCUAGAAUAUGUCUAGCUCUUCCAAAGAGGCUCUAAAACGUUCUAGACAAUUCUAGGGAAUUCUCUAGUCUUCUCCAAGGAUCUAGAAGGGUCUAAAGUCUUAUACAAACCUCUUCAAGGAUCUAGGUCCUUUUGCCCCAUUCGGAGGAUGAAAAAUGGUCGAAAUUGUGGCGGGACACACACUACGCUCUGUAUACAUUAGCAUGGGAUAACAUUAUAGGAUUUAUGUCCUAUUAUGUUGGCCUUCAGGAUCAGAUUAAUGAUUAACAGGGACAGUCGAGGGCAUUCGUAUUUCAUAGUUAGAGGUGAAAUUCUUGGAUUUAUGAUAGACGGACAACUGCGAAAGCAUUUGCCAAGGAUGUUUUCAUUAAACAAGAACGAAAGUUGUGGGCUCGAAGACGAUCAUAUACUGUUCUAGUCUCAACCAUAAAUGAUGCUGACCAGGUAUCGAUGGAUGUUGCUUUUAGGACUCCACCGGCACCUUGUGAGAAAUCAAAUUUUUUUGGGUUCCGGGGGGAUUAUGGUCGCAAGGCUGAAACUUAGAGGAAUUGACGGAAGGGCACCACCAGGAGUGGAGCUUGCAAAUUAAAUUGACUCAAAACGGGGAAACUUACCAGGUCCAUACAUAGUAAGGAUUGACAGACUGAGAGCUCUUUCUUGAUUCUACGGGUGGUGGUGCAUGGCCGUUCUUAGUUGGUGGAGCGAUUUGUCUUGUUAAUUCUGUUAACGAAUGAGACCUCCACCUUCUAACUAGCUAUGCGGAGGUAUCCCUUCGCGGCCAGCUUCUUAGAGGGACUACAACCUUUUAGGCCGCAGAAAUUUGAGGCAAUAACAGGUCUGUAAUGCCCUUAGAUGUUAUGGGCCGCACGCGCGCUACACUGAUGUAUUCAACGAGCUUAUAACCUUGGCUGACAGGCCCGGGUAAUCUUUGAAAUUUCAUCAUGAUGGGGAUAGAUCAUUACAAUUGUUGGUCUUUAACGAGGAAUUUCUAGUAAGCGUGAGUCAUCAGCUUGCGUUGACUACGUCCCUGCCCUUUGUACACACUGCCCGCCGCUCCUACCUAUUGAAUGAUCCGGUGAAAUAUUCGGAUCGCGGUGACAUGGGUGGUUUUCUACCCAUGAUGAAGCGAGAAGUCUAUUGAACCUUAUCAUUUAGAGGAAGGAGAAGUCGUAACAAGGUUUCCGUAGGUGAACCUACAGAAGGAUCAUUG
Molecule: non-coding RNA, 1327 nt
Organism: Solanum lycopersicum (tomato)
Lineage: Eukaryota; Viridiplantae; Streptophyta; Magnoliopsida; Solanales; Solanaceae
Source: Rfam